Molecule: long non-coding RNA, 526 nt
Filed under: Homo sapiens (human)
Lineage: Eukaryota; Metazoa; Chordata; Mammalia; Primates; Hominidae
Description: HSALNT0129205
Source: RNAcentral
AGAGUAAGCACACACUGGGGCAAAGAGGGAAUGGAGAACACUGAUCAAACAGUGAACAGCUCGGCUGCCUCUGCCUGUCAGGGAAUUUAAAUUGCAGAUGGGAUGGUGAACCCAUGCCCAGAGCAGGAGCAGCCCCUCUAGUGAGCACCAGCAUUGCUUAGCAACUAGGUUGGGAAGAACUUUAGGAAGCAGCAGAAAGUUCCACUCUGGAAAGUGCCCUUGAGCCAGGGCAUCUCCUGGGAACAGGGAAGGAGUGUCCCGGAAAGAAGCAGCAGCCAGGUUAGAGAUCUGCUCAAUCCAGGGUCAGGGGUAUGGCCAGGGGGUACAGUCAGCACCACUCUGCUCAGUCACCAUUGAGUGUGUCCUUCACCGAGGGACAAAAUGUCUGCCAGCCUCCAUGUAGUUUUUGACAUUCAUUGUUUUGUAGAGAGCUUUCAAAUGCAUGGUAUCUUCCCUAUGUACCCCCUCACACCUCACACACCAACAAGAAGUAGAAAUGGAAAUGAAUAAUACCAACACCCUAACA